Molecule: long non-coding RNA, 297 nt
Filed under: Gossypium barbadense (sea-island cotton)
Lineage: Eukaryota; Viridiplantae; Streptophyta; Magnoliopsida; Malvales; Malvaceae
Description: long non-coding RNA (GBAR_LNC019123)
Source: RNAcentral
UCUCAGUCAUUUUUUGCAAUCCAUUGUCUUGCAAUACAGUGACAAACCAUGGUGUCUGAUUUUAAAUUGAUUACAGCUCUCAGCUAUCGCGUUAUCAUUCAAGUUCAAUACAUUUUCCCAUACCAUCGGUAUAUGAUGACAUUGAUGCAUGCAGUAGCCUCUAUCCAUUUGAUGAAGUAACUGAUGAUCUCAAUAGUGGAGCAAUACCCAUUAGAAGUCUUCGAUAAUGGUGAUGUCCAUGCCCUAUUUUGCUCAAAAUUUGAGUCGCCCUUUUUUGGGUUUUCUACUCAAAACCAC